AUUUAAAUAGUUUAUCAAAAAUGUCGGUCUGUGGAUCCGGAGAUAUAACUUAAGUUAUUUUAAAUC
RNAcentral lists this transfer RNA (66 nucleotides) under Gonodactylellus sp. SIO BIC C12514. RNAcentral's name for it is "tRNA-His". It matches the Rfam family "tRNA". Rfam says of the family: Transfer RNA (tRNA) molecules are approximately 80 nucleotides in length. Their secondary structure includes four short double-helical elements and three loops (D, anti-codon, and T loops). The record is from RNAcentral. Lineage: Eukaryota; Metazoa; Arthropoda; Malacostraca; Stomatopoda; Gonodactylidae.